GAGUUUGAUCGUGGCUCAGGAUGAACGCUGGCGGCGUGCCUAAUACAUGCAAGUCGAGCGAACGGACGAGAAGCUUGCUUCUCUGAUGUUAGCGGCGGACGGGUGAGUAACACGUGGAUAACCUACCUAUAAGACUGGGAUAACUUCGGGAAACCGGAGCUAAUACCGGAUGAUAUUUUGAACCGCAUGGUUCAAAAGUGAAAGACGGUCUUGCUGUCACUUAUAGAUGGAUCCGCGCUGCAUUAGCUAGUUGGUAAGGUAACGGCUUACCAAGGCAACGAUGCAUAGCCGACCUGAGAGGGUGAUCGGCCACACUGGAACUGAGACACGGUCCAGACUCCUACGGGAGGCAGCAGUAGGGAAUCUUCCGCAAUGGGCGAAAGCCUGACGGAGCAACGCCGCGUGAGUGAUGAAGGUCUUCGGAUCGUAAAACUCUGUUAUUAGGGAAGAACAUAUGUGUAAGUAACUGUGCACAUCUUGACGGUACCUAAUCAGAAAGCCACGGCUAACUACG
This 514-nucleotide ribosomal RNA is filed under the name uncultured microorganism. RNAcentral describes it as "bacterial SSU rRNA". It matches the Rfam family "Bacterial small subunit ribosomal RNA", at positions 9 to 505 of the family's 1533-position model. The record is from RNAcentral.